Molecule: non-coding RNA, 190 nt
Organism: Oryza glumipatula
Lineage: Eukaryota; Viridiplantae; Streptophyta; Magnoliopsida; Poales; Poaceae
Source: Rfam
AAUAAGUGAUAUUUUUCACUGUUUACGUCCAACGUUUGACCGUUCGUCUUAUUUGGAAAAAAAAUUUAUAAUUAGUAUUUUUAUUGUUAUUUUCAUAGUACUUUAUGUGUGACUAUUUUUUUUUCAAAAAAAAAUUUAAAUAAAACGAACGGUCAAACGCUGGACACGGAUAUCCACAACUGCACUUAUU